UGCCAGCAGCCGCGGUAAUACGGAGGAUCCAAGCGUUAUCCGGAUUUAUUGGGUUUAAAGGGUGCGUAGGCGGCUCUAUAAGUCAGUAGUGAAAUCUCGAAGCUCAACUUCGAACGUGCUAUUGAAACUGUAGAGCUUGAGUACAGACGAGGCAGGCGGAAUGUGUUGUGUAGCGGUGAAAUGCUUAGAUAUAACACAGAACACCGAUAGCGAAGGCAGCUUGCCAGACUGUAACUGACGCUGAGGCACGAAAGCGUGGGUAGCGAACAGGAUUAGAUACCCUGGUAGUCC
RNAcentral lists this ribosomal RNA (291 nucleotides) under uncultured bacterium. Its description in RNAcentral is "partial 16S ribosomal RNA". It matches the Rfam family "Bacterial small subunit ribosomal RNA", at positions 506 to 796 of the family's 1533-position model. The record is from RNAcentral.